CCUGUUCCCAUGCCGAACACAGAAGUUAAGCUCUUUAGCGCCGAUGGUAGUCGGACUUACGUUCCGCAAGAGUAGGACGGUGCCAGGU
RNAcentral lists this ribosomal RNA (88 nucleotides) under Staphylococcus felis. Lineage: Bacteria; Bacillati; Bacillota; Bacilli; Caryophanales; Staphylococcaceae. The record is from RNAcentral.